UACGGAGGGUGCGAGCGUUGUUCGGAAUUACUGGGUGUAAAGCGCGUGUAGGCGGCCUUCUAAGUCUGGUGUGAAAGCCCGGGGCUCAACUCCGGAAGUGCAUUGGAUACUGGGAGGCUGGAGUACCGGAGAGGGGGGUGGAAUUCCUGGUGUAGCGGUGAAAUGCGUAGAUAUCAGGAGGAACACCGGUGGCGAAGGCGGCCCUCUGGACGGAUACUGACGCUGAGACGCGAAAGCGUGGGGAGCAAAC
This 250-nucleotide ribosomal RNA is filed under the name uncultured bacterium. RNAcentral's name for it is "partial 16S ribosomal RNA". It matches the Rfam family "Bacterial small subunit ribosomal RNA", at positions 524 to 773 of the family's 1533-position model. The record is from RNAcentral.